This is a long non-coding RNA of Bradysia coprophila, 140 nucleotides long. The record is from RefSeq and is a predicted model, not a curated record. NCBI's taxonomy places the organism in Eukaryota, Metazoa, Arthropoda, Insecta, Diptera, Sciaridae.
CAAAUAAUCGGCUAUAAAGUUAGAGCUUAUUUGACACAUCUGGGCGACGAUUCUCGUAUUUUCUUAACUCCAAAUAUUCGUAACUUGACAGUUGCGUGUAUAAAAUCCCAAAAGAACUGUCAAGUAACGAAUUCUUAAAG